This 253-nucleotide ribosomal RNA is filed under the name uncultured bacterium. RNAcentral describes it as "partial 16S ribosomal RNA". It matches the Rfam family "Bacterial small subunit ribosomal RNA", at positions 524 to 776 of the family's 1533-position model. The record is from RNAcentral.
UACGUAGGGGGCAAGCGUUGUCCGGAUUUAUUGGGCGUAAAGAGCGUGUAGGCGGCCAGGUAGGUCCGUUGUGAAAACUCGAGGCUCAACCUCGAGACGUCGGCGGAAACCCUCUGGCUAGAGUCCGGAAGAGGAGAGUGGAAUUCCUGGUGUAGCGGUGAAAUGCGCAGAUAUCAGGAAGAACACCCGUGGCGAAGGCGGCUCUCUGGGACGGUACUGACGCUGAGGUGCGAAAGCGUGGGGAGCAAACAGG